GACGAACGCUGGCGGCGUGCUUAACACAUGCAAGUCGAGCGGUAAGGCCCUUUCGGGGGUACACGAGCGGCGAACGGGUGAGUAACACGUGGGUGACCUGCCCUCAGCUCUGGGAUAAGCCUGGGAAACCGGGUCUAAUACUGGAUAUGACUCCAUGACGCAUGUUGUGGGGUGGAAAGCCUUGUGCGGCUGAGGAUGGGCCCGCGGCCUAUCAGCUUGUUGGUGGGGNGAUGGCCUACCAAGGCGACGACGGGUAGCCGGCCUGAGAGGGCGACCGGCCACACUGGGACUGAGACACGGCCCAGGACUCCUACGGGAGGGCAGCAGUGGGGAAUCUUGCGC
Molecule: ribosomal RNA, 342 nt
Filed under: uncultured bacterium
Lineage: Bacteria
Description: bacterial SSU rRNA
Rfam family: Bacterial small subunit ribosomal RNA
Source: RNAcentral